GUGACCGUAGCUCAAUAGGCGGAGCUCCGGAUUGUGGCUCCGGUGGUUGUGGGUUCGAGCCCCAUCGGUCACCC
Molecule: transfer RNA, 74 nt
Filed under: Tengunoibacter tsumagoiensis
Lineage: Bacteria; Bacillati; Chloroflexota; Ktedonobacteria; Ktedonobacterales; Dictyobacteraceae
Description: tRNA-His
Rfam family: tRNA
About the family: Transfer RNA (tRNA) molecules are approximately 80 nucleotides in length.
Source: RNAcentral